Molecule: ribosomal RNA, 180 nt
Filed under: uncultured bacterium
Lineage: Bacteria
Description: partial 16S ribosomal RNA
Rfam family: Bacterial small subunit ribosomal RNA
Source: RNAcentral
CAUGAAGUCGGAAUUGCUAGUAAUCGCGGAUCAGCAUGCCGCGGUGAAUACGUUCUCGGGCCUUGUACACACCGCCCGUCACACCAUGGGAGUCGGUAACACCCGAAGUCUGUAGCCUGACGCAAGAGGGCGCAGCCGAAGGUGGGAUUGAUGACUGGGGUGAAGUCGUAACAAGGUAAC